RNAcentral lists this ribosomal RNA (253 nucleotides) under uncultured bacterium. Its description in RNAcentral is "partial 16S ribosomal RNA". It matches the Rfam family "Bacterial small subunit ribosomal RNA", at positions 524 to 776 of the family's 1533-position model. The record is from RNAcentral.
UACGUAGGUGGCAAGCGUUGUCCGGAUUUAUUGGGUGUAAAGGGUGCGUAGACGGGUAAUUAAGUUAGUUGUGAAAUCCCUCGGCUCAACUGAGGAACUGCAACUAAAACUGGUUAUCUUGAGUGCAGGAGAGGUAAGUGGAAUUCCUAGUGUAGCGGUGAAAUGCGUAGAUAUUAGGAGGAACACCAGUGGCGAAGGCGACUUACUGGACUGUAACUGACGUUGAGGCACGAAAGUGUGGGGAGCAAACAGG